RNAcentral lists this ribosomal RNA (492 nucleotides) under uncultured bacterium. RNAcentral's name for it is "partial 16S ribosomal RNA". It matches the Rfam family "Bacterial small subunit ribosomal RNA", at positions 29 to 507 of the family's 1533-position model. The record is from RNAcentral.
AGUGAACGCUGGCGGUAGGCCUAACACAUGCAAGUCGAACGGCAGCACAGUAAGAGCUUGCUCUUACGGGUGGCGAGUGGCGGACGGGUGCGGAAUACAUCGGAAUCUACUUUUUCGUGGGGGAUAACGUAGGGAAACUUGCGCUAAUACCGCAUACGACCUACGGGUGAAAGCAGGGGAUCUUCGGACCUUGCGCGAUUGAAUGAGCCGAUGUCGGAUUAGCUAGUUGGCGGGGUAAAGGCCCACCAAGGCGACGAUCCGUAGCUGGUCUGAGAGGAUGAUCAGCCACACUGGAACUGAGACACGGUCCAGACUCCUACGGGAGGCAGCAGUGGGGAAUAUUGGACAAUGGGCGCAAGCCUGAUCCAGCCAUACCGCGUGGGUGAAGAAGGCCUUCGGGUUGUAAAGCCCUUUUGUUGGGAAAGAAAAGCAGCAGGUUAAUACCCCGCUGUUCUGACGGUACCCAAAGAAUAAGCACCGGCUAACUUCGUG